GGUCAAGCUACUAAGGGCAAACGGUGGAUGCCUUGGUGCCAGAAGGCGAUGAAGGACGUGGCUGUCUGCGAUAAGCCCCGGGGAGCUGUCUAGCAAGCGUAGAUCCGGGGAUUUCCGAAUGGGGAAACCCUCCCGGAGUAAUGUCCGGGAACUCCGAUUGAUUCAAUCGGGGGGCGAUACCAGGGGAAUUGAAACAUCUUAGUACCCUGAGGAAUAGAAACCAACCGAGAUUCCCCCAGUAGCGGCGAGCGAAAAGGGAAGAGCCAAAACCUUACCGGUGGUAAAGCCUCCAGGCGUUGCCGGUAAGGGGUUGCGGGAAGUGGGUGUUUCGGGCUGGAGCCCGAAGGAAAAGUUACAAAAUUAUUCUUUAGUCUAAUGUCCUGGAAAGGACAACCAUAGAGGGUGAUAGUCCCGUAGACGAAAAAGGAUAAUCUUUUCUACCCGCUCUCCCUAGUAGUGCGGAGCACGUGAAACUCCGUAUGAAUCCGGGUGGACCACCAUCCAAGGCUAAAUACUAUCUGGCAACCGAUAGCGAACAAGUACCGUGAGGGAAAGGUGAAAAGAACCCCUUCGAGGGGAGUGAAAUAGAAUCUGAAACCGUCUGCCUACAAGCGGUCGGAGCUCUGUACAUAAAUUUAUUUGUGUGCGGGGUGACGGCGUGCCUUUUGCAUAAUGAGCCGGCGAGUUACUUCUAUGCAGCUUGGUUAAGUCCGAAAACGGAUGAAGCCGCAGGGAAACCGAGUCUUAACUGGGCGUAUAUGGUUGCAUGGAGUAGACCCGAAACCGAGUGAGCUACCCAUGGGCAGGUUGAAGUGACGGUAACACGUCAUGGAGGACCGAACCAGUUAGCGUUUAAAAGCUAUUGGAUGACCUGUGGGUCGGAGUGAAAGGCUAAUCAAACUCGGCGAUAGCUGGUUCUCCUCGAAAUAGCUUUAGGGCUAGCCUUGCAAAAUGGACAACGGGGGUAGAGCACUGAAUGGGUCAGGGAGCCUACCAGCUUACCGAAACCAAUCAAACUCCGAAUACCGUUGCACCUUAUUGCGGGAGUCAGACUGUGGGGGCUAAGCUCCAUGGUCGAAAGGGAAACAGCCCAGACCGUCAGCUAAGGUCCCUAAAUAUGGACUAAGUGAAAAAGGAAGUGAAGUCACAAGGACAGCUAGGAUGUUGGCUUAGAGGCAGCCAUCAUUUAAAGAGUGCGUAAUAGCUCACUAGUCGAGUGAUUUUGCGCCGAAAAUGAUCGGGGCUCAAGUCCAUUACCGAAGCUACGGGUGUCUCUUCCCCGGUUUACCGGGAGAGAGGCGCGGUAGAGGAGCGUUCCAUACUGAAUGAAGCGGGCCCGGAAGGGUCCCCGGUUUUUGCCGGGGCGCAAGCAGUGGACGGUAUGGCAGUGAUAAUGCCGGCAUGAGUAGCGAUAAUUGCGGUGAGAAUCCGCAACGCCGAAAACCCAAGGUUUCCUGGGCAAGGCUCGUCCUCCCAGGGUUAGUCGACCCCUAAGGCGUAGCCGAAAGGCGAAGCCGAUGGACAACGGGUUAAUAUUCCUGUACUACCUGACUCGCGAUCCCCGAUUCGUCGGGGGAGAGUAAUGGAGGGACGUAGGAGGCCAAAAAACUGCCAUCCUCGGAUUGGAAGUCGAGGUCUAAGCUGGUAGGGGGUCCUGGUAGGAAAAUCCGCCGGGGCAUAACUCCGAGAAGCGAAUGCGAGCCCAAUCUACGGAACGGGCGAAGUGGCUGGUGCCUGCUACCAAGAAAAUCUUCUAGCGAGUGAGUUGGGUAAUCGUACCGCAAACCGACACAGGUGGGUGGGGAGAGAAUCCUCAGGCGCGCGAGAGAACCCUCGUUAAGGAACUCGGCAAAAUGACCCCGUAACUUCGGAAGAAGGGGUUGUCAUUCCGGUGAGGCAUUUUACAUGCGGAGCUGGGAUGACAGACACAAAAUCGGCCCAGGCGACUGUUUAACAAAAACACAGGUCUCUGCUAAGUCGCAAGACAACGUAUAGAGACUGACGCGUGACCAAUGCUGUAAGGUUAAGGAGAGGAGUUAUCCUGCAUUUAUGUUGGAGAAGCUCUGAACCGAAGCCCCAGUGAAUGUCGGCCGUAACUAUAACGGUCCUAAGGUAGCGAAAUUCCUUGUCGGGUAAGUUCCGACCUGCACGAAACGCGUAACGAUCUGGGCACUGUCUCAACGAGGGACUCGGCGAAAUUGUAGUGGCGGUGAAGAUGCCGUCUACCCGCGACAGGACGGAAAGACCCCGUGAACCUUUACUGCAGCUUGAUAUUGAAUUUUAGUGCGGUAUGUGUAGGAUAGGUGGAAGGCUAUGAAGCCGGGGCGUCAGCUUCGGUGGAGCCACCCUUGAAAUACCACCCUUACUGUAGUGAAAUUCUAACCCCGUAACCAACGGGGGACAGUGUCUGGUGGGCAGUUUGACUGGGGCGGUUUCCUCCCAAAGUGUAACGGAGGAGCGCAAUGGUACUCUCAGCACGGUCGGCAAUCGUGCGCAGAGCGCAAAGGUAUAAGAGUGCUUGACUGCGAGACCGACGGGUCGAGCAGAUGCGAAAGCAGGCCUUAGUGAUCCGGUGGUUCCAUGUGGAAGGGCCAUCGCUCAACGGAUAAAAGGUACUCCGGGGAUAACAGGCUUAUCGGGCCCAAGAGUUCACAUCGACGGCCCGGUUUGGCACCUCGAUGUCGGCUCAUCACAUCCUGGGGGUGAAGAAGCUCCCAAGGGUCGGGCUGUUCGCCCGUUAAAGUGGUACGCGAGCUGGGUUCAGAACGUCGUGAGACAGUUCGGUCCUUAUCCGUCGUGGGCGCAGGAUAUUUGAGGAGAGCAAUCCUUAGUACGAGAGGACCGGGAUUGACGGACCUCUGGUGUUCCAGUUGUCGUGCCAACGGCAUUGCUGGGUAGCUAUGUUCGGAAAGGAUAAGCGCUGAAAGCAUCUAAGCGCCAAGCCCCCUCCAAGAUGAGAUAUCCCUAUCAGGCACCUUGAAGACGACGAGGUUGAUAGGCAGGGUGUGUAAGUGCGGUGACGCAUUUAGCUUACCUGUACUAAUCUGCCGAUCGGCUUGACCAG
RNAcentral lists this ribosomal RNA (3064 nucleotides) under Candidatus Euphemobacter frigidus. RNAcentral describes it as "23S ribosomal RNA". It matches the Rfam family "Bacterial large subunit ribosomal RNA". Lineage: Bacteria; Pseudomonadati; Candidatus Auribacterota; Candidatus Erginobacteria; Candidatus Erginobacterales; Candidatus Erginobacteraceae. The record is from RNAcentral.